UGGUGAGCAGAGUUAGAACUAUUCCAGUCUAUUGAAAAGAGUUUCAAUGAUAUUGUGAUAGAAAUUAUAAUAUAUCUCACUAUCAGACAGAAUAGAACCUAUGGGGUCACACACAAAAGAGGCUUUUAACUGAUCAAACGAUUGAAUUAUGAUUAUGAAUCAUUACAGAAUUUGAUUAUCAAUUUGAUUGAUGAUUGAUCCAAUGCAAAUGUUGUAUUAUAUA
This 223-nucleotide long non-coding RNA is filed under the name Elaeis guineensis (African oil palm). RNAcentral's name for it is "long non-coding RNA (EGUI_LNC047388)". Lineage: Eukaryota; Viridiplantae; Streptophyta; Magnoliopsida; Arecales; Arecaceae. The record is from RNAcentral.